This 253-nucleotide ribosomal RNA is filed under the name uncultured bacterium. RNAcentral's name for it is "partial 16S ribosomal RNA". It matches the Rfam family "Bacterial small subunit ribosomal RNA", at positions 524 to 776 of the family's 1533-position model. The record is from RNAcentral.
UACGUAGGGUGCAAGCGUUGUCCGGAAUUAUUGGGCGUAAAGAGCUCGUAGGCGGUUUGUCGCGUCUGCUGUGAAAACUCGGGGCUUAACCCCGGGCCUGCAGUGGGUACGGGCAGACUAGAGUGCGGUAGGGGAGACUGGAAUUCCUGGUGUAGCGGUGAAAUGCGCAGAUAUCAGGAGGAACACCAAUGGCGAAGGCAGCUCGCUGGGACGUGACUGACGCUGAGACGCGAAAGCGUGGGGAGCAAACAGG